GGGCCUGUAGCUCAACGGUAGAGCGGCCAGCUAGCCAGCUGGACGGUUGCGGGUUCGAAUCCCGCCAGGUCCA
This 73-nucleotide transfer RNA is filed under the name Hadesarchaea archaeon. RNAcentral's name for it is "tRNA-OTHER". It matches the Rfam family "tRNA". From Rfam's summary of the family: Transfer RNA (tRNA) molecules are approximately 80 nucleotides in length. The record is from RNAcentral. RNAcentral also lists the same sequence under 1 other name. Lineage: Archaea; Methanobacteriati; Hadarchaeota (SeqCode); Hadarchaeia (SeqCode).